UGGUCCUACGGGACGCAGCAGUAGGGAAUUUUUCACAAUGGGCGAAAGCCUGAUGGAGCAAUGCCGCGUGAAUGAUGAAGGUCUUAUAGAUUGUAAAAUUCUUUUAUUUGGGAAGAAAAACUAAAGUAGGAAAUGACUUUAGUCUGACUGUACCAUUUGAAUAAGUAUCGGCUAACUAUGUGCCAGCAGCCGCGGUAAUACAUAGGAUGCAAGCGUUAUCCGGAUUUACUGGGCGUAAAACGAGCGCAGGCGGGUUAACUAGUUUGGUACGAAAGGCUUUUUCUUAACGAUAGUUUGUAUCAAAA
RNAcentral lists this ribosomal RNA (305 nucleotides) under uncultured bacterium. Its description in RNAcentral is "bacterial SSU rRNA". It matches the Rfam family "Bacterial small subunit ribosomal RNA", at positions 334 to 631 of the family's 1533-position model. The record is from RNAcentral.